This 640-nucleotide ribosomal RNA is filed under the name Microbacterium sp. Its description in RNAcentral is "bacterial SSU rRNA". It matches the Rfam family "Bacterial small subunit ribosomal RNA", at positions 120 to 774 of the family's 1533-position model. Lineage: Bacteria; Bacillati; Actinomycetota; Actinomycetes; Micrococcales; Microbacteriaceae. The record is from RNAcentral.
AGCAACCUGCCCUGGACUCUGGGAUAAGCGCUGGAAACGGCGUCUAAUACUGGAUAUGAGCUCCUUCCGCAUGGUGGGGGUUGGAAAGAUUUUUCGGUCUGGGAUGGGCUCGCGGCCUAUCAGCUUGUUGGUGAGGUAAUGGCUCACCAAGGCGUCGACGGGUAGCCGGCCUGAGAGGGUGACCGGCCACACUGGGACUGAGACACGGCCCAGACUCCUACGGGAGGCAGCAGUGGGGAAUAUUGCACAAUGGGCGGAAGCCUGAUGCAGCAACGCCGCGUGAGGGAUGACGGCCUUCGGGUUGUAAACCUCUUUUAGCAGGGAAGAAGCGAAAGUGACGGUACCUGCAGAAAAAGCGCCGGCUAACUACGUGCCAGCAGCCGCGGUAAUACGUAGGGCGCAAGCGUUAUCCGGAAUUAUUGGGCGUAAAGAGCUCGUAGGCGGUUUGUCGCGUCUGCUGUGAAAUCCCGAGGCUCAACCUCGGGCCUGCAGUGGGUACGGGCAGACUAGAGUGCGGUAGGGGAGAUUGGAAUUCCUGGUGUAGCGGUGGAAUGCGCAGAUAUCAGGAGGAACACCGAUGGCGAAGGCAGAUCUCUGGGCCGUAACUGACGCUGAGGAGCGAAAGGGUGGGGAGCAAACA